RNAcentral lists this ribosomal RNA (1207 nucleotides) under Clostridioides difficile. RNAcentral describes it as "partial 23S ribosomal RNA". It matches the Rfam family "Bacterial large subunit ribosomal RNA", at positions 1487 to 2703 of the family's 2925-position model. Lineage: Bacteria; Bacillati; Bacillota; Clostridia; Peptostreptococcales; Peptostreptococcaceae. The record is from RNAcentral.
CUAAGCACACUGUUGGUUAUGUGUGCCCAAGCAUUGAGGCAGUCAAAGUAGGCAAAUCCGCUUUGAUAAUGCUGGGAUGUGAUGGGGAGCGAAAUUUAGUAGCGAAGUAGCUGAUUUCACACUGUCAAGAAAAGUCUCUAUCGAGGUUAAAGGUACCCGUACCGCAAACCGACACAGGUGGGUGAGGAGAGUAUCCUAAGGCCAGCGAGAGAACUGUUGUUAAGGAACUCGGCAAAAUGACCCCGUAACUUAGGGAUAAGGGGUGCCACCAUCAGGUGGCCGCAGAGAAUAGGCCCAAGCGACUGUUUACCAAAAACAUAGGUUUCUGCUAAGUCGCAAGACGAUGUAUAGGAGCUGACGCCUGCCCGGUGCUGGAAGGUUAAGGGGAUCUGUUAGAGCAAUCGAAGCAGUGAACUUAAGCCCCAGUAAACGGCGGCCGUAACUAUAACGGUCCUAAGGUAGCGAAAUUCCUUGUCGGGUAAGUUCCGACCCGCACGAAAGGCGUAACGAUUUGGGCACUGUCUCAACAACAGACUCGGUGAAAUUGUAAUUCCGGUGAAGAUGCCGGAUACCUGCGACAGGACGGAAAGACCCCAUGGAGCUUUACUGUAGCUUGACAUUGGGUCUUGGUACUACAUGUACAGGAUAGGUGGGAGGCUUUGAAACCAGGACGCCAGUUUUGGCGGAGCCAUCCUUGGGAUACCACCCUUGUAGUACUGGGACUCUAACCAUAGGCCAUGAAUCUGGUCUUGGGACACUGUCAGGUGGGCAGUUUGACUGGGGCGGUCGCCUCCCAAAAGGUAACGGAGGCGCUCAAAGGUUCUCUCAGUACGGUCGGAAAUCGUACGUAGAGUGUAAAGGCAAAAGAGAGCUUGAUUGCAAGACAUACAGGUCGAGCAAGGAUGAAAAUCGGACUUAGUGAUCCGGUGGUUCUGCGUGGAAGGGCCAUCGCUCAACGGAUAAAAGCUACCCUGGGGAUAACAGGCUUAUCUCCCCCAAGAGUCCACAUCGACGGGGAGGUUUGGCACCUCGAUGUCGGCUCAUCACAUCCUGGGGCUGUAGUAGGUCCCAAGGGUUGGGCUGUUCGCCCAUUAAAGUGGUACGCGAGCUGGGUUCAGAACGUCGUGAGACAGUUCGGUCCCUAUCCGUCGCAGGCGUAGGAAAUUUGAGAAGACCUGUCCUUAGUACGAGAGGACCGGGAUGGACG